Asterias rubens (European starfish) is the source of this 246-nucleotide long non-coding RNA. RefSeq lists it as uncharacterized. The record is from RefSeq and is a predicted model, not a curated record. The transcript is spliced from 3 exons. Lineage: Eukaryota; Metazoa; Echinodermata; Asteroidea; Forcipulatida; Asteriidae.
UGGAGAUUUUAUGGCUCAAGUGAGACAGUUUAUUCCAGAGAGAAAGAACGGAGUGCCCUGUUGGUGUUGGCAUUUCUCUUCUUAGCUGCGUCAUUGUCAGUUGGAAUUAAGUCCAUAAUCUUCAUUAUCAAAGCAAGUGCAACCGAAGAGAUAUUAUCCCUGUAUGUCGUGGCAACCGUUGCAGUUAUAAUUAGUUUGAUACUCUUUGUAAGUAAACUUCACGUGGGAUACAAGCUCCAGAGUAAA